This 72-nucleotide transfer RNA is filed under the name Camelus bactrianus (Bactrian camel). It matches the Rfam family "tRNA". Rfam says of the family: Transfer RNA (tRNA) molecules are approximately 80 nucleotides in length. Their secondary structure includes four short double-helical elements and three loops (D, anti-codon, and T loops). Further hydrogen bonds mediate the characteristic L-shaped molecular structure. tRNAs have two regions of fundamental functional importance: the anti-codon, which is responsible for specific mRNA codon recognition, and the 3' end, to which the tRNAs corresponding amino acid is attached (by aminoacyl-tRNA synthetases). tRNAs cope with the degeneracy of the genetic code in two manners: having more than one tRNA (with a specific anti-codon) for a particular amino acid; and 'wobble' base-pairing, i.e. permitting non-standard base-pairing at the 3rd anti-codon position. The record is from Rfam by way of RNAcentral. Lineage: Eukaryota; Metazoa; Chordata; Mammalia; Artiodactyla; Camelidae. RNAcentral also lists the same sequence under 2 other names.
GAGGGUACAGCUCAGUGGUAGAGCGUGUGCUUAGCAUGCAUGAGGUCCUAGGCUCAAUCCCCAGUACUUUCA